Molecule: ribosomal RNA, 497 nt
Filed under: uncultured bacterium
Lineage: Bacteria
Description: partial 16S ribosomal RNA
Rfam family: Bacterial small subunit ribosomal RNA
Source: RNAcentral
GAUGAACGCUGGCGGCGUGCCUAAUACAUGCAAGUCGAGCGAACAGACGAGGAGCUUGCUCCUCUGACGUUAGCGGCGGACGGGUGAGUAACACGUGGAUAACCUACCUAUAAGACUGGGAUAACUUCGGGAAACCGGAGCUAAUACCGGAUAAUAUAUUGAACCGCAUGGUUCAAUAGUGAAAGACGGUUUUGCUGUCACUUAUAGAUGGAUCCGCGCCGCAUUAGCUAGUUGGUAAGGUAACGGCUUACCAAGGCAACGAUGCGUAGCCGACCUGGGAGGGUGAUCAGCCACACUGGAACUGAGACACGGUCCAGACUCCUACGGGAGGCAGCAGUAGGGAAUCUUCCGCAAUGGGCGAAAGCCUGACGGAGCAACGCCGCGUGAGUGAUGAAGGUCUUCGGAUCGUAAAACUCUGUUAUUAGGGAAGAACAAAUGUGUAAGUAACUAUGCACGUCUUGACGGUACCUAAUCAGAAAGCCACGGCUAACUACGUG